UACGGGGGAUGCAAGCGUUAUCCGGAUUUAUUGGGUUUAAAGGGUGCGUAGACUGUGAGGUAAGUCAGCGGUGAAAUGCCCCCGCUCAACGGGGUGAAGUGCCAUUGAUACUGCCUUGCUGGAAUGCGGAUGCCGUGGGAGGAAUGUGUGGUGUAGCGGUGAAAUGCAUAGAUAUCACACAGAACACCGAUUGCGAAGGCAUCUCACGAAUCCGCGAUUGACGCUGAUGCACGAAAGCGUGGGGAGCAAACAGG
RNAcentral lists this ribosomal RNA (254 nucleotides) under uncultured bacterium. RNAcentral describes it as "partial 16S ribosomal RNA". It matches the Rfam family "Bacterial small subunit ribosomal RNA", at positions 524 to 776 of the family's 1533-position model. The record is from RNAcentral.